Molecule: ribosomal RNA, 445 nt
Filed under: uncultured bacterium
Lineage: Bacteria
Description: partial 16S ribosomal RNA
Rfam family: Bacterial small subunit ribosomal RNA
Source: RNAcentral
GUGAGGAAUAUUGGUCAAUGGGCGGGAGCCUGAACCAGCCAAGUCGCGUGAAGGAAGAAGGAUCUAUGGUUCGUAAACUUCUUUUGCAGGGGAAUAAAGUGCAGGACGUGUCCUGUUUUGUAUGUACCCUGAGAAUAAGGAUCGGCUAACUCCGUGCCAGCAGCCGCGGUAAUACGGAGGAUCCGAGCGUUAUCCGGAUUUAUUGGGUUUAAAGGGUGCGCAGGCGGGUUGAUAAGUCAGCGGUGAAAGUUUGCAGCUUAACUGUAAAAUUGCCGUUGAAACUGUCGAUCUUGAGUGCAAAUGAGGUAAGCGGAAUGUGUUGUGUAGCGGUGAAAUGCUUAGAUAUAACACAGAACACCGAUUGCGAAGGCAGCUUACUGGGAUGCAACUGACGCUCAUGCACGAAAGCGUGGGGAUCAAACAGGAUUAGAAACCCUGGUAGUCC